Long non-coding RNA from Aethalodelphis obliquidens (Pacific white-sided dolphin), 4044 nucleotides. RefSeq lists it as uncharacterized. The transcript has 10 exons. Lineage: Eukaryota; Metazoa; Chordata; Mammalia; Artiodactyla; Delphinidae. The record is from RefSeq and is a predicted model, not a curated record.
GCCCCGCCUCGCAGACCCCGCCCUGGUGCCCGUGCCUGUGUAGGUGCCGCCGCCGCCGCCGCCGCCGCCGCCGCCCCUGCCCCCGAGCUUUCUUGGGCCCUCGCGGCCCCCAGCUGCCUCGGCUGGAUGCAGCUCCAGGCGCUCAGGGGAACUGUGUUGAGAACACGCCCCGUCUCGCUUUCCUGUGGGCAUUUCCCAGGAUUUCCUUGCACCUAAAUCCUCCUCAGUGUCUGCUACCUCAGAGGGAGCACCUCUGCGAAUGAGGGUGGGGACGCAGGCGCUAACCGAGGUCAGGUUUUCAGUCCGUAGAUGUGCUCGAGAAACCAACACGGAGGAGAAAUGCUGCCACUGCAGACCCGUGGCGGGGGGCGCUGGCCUAGCUGAGUGUGGCCAGGCGGCCGGGACACCGACAUCCGGGGCUGGAAAGACAGAUCCGCGUCCGCAGAGGCCUCCGUCCCUGAGGAGAGAUCCCGGCGCCCAGGGCUCACGUCUGGGUGGAGACUGUUUCAAACACAAGACCAAGGGUCUUGUGGGAGCCCAGAUGAGGUGCUGAGCCAGCCCUGAAGGACUUCCUGGAGGAGGAGAGGGUCCUGACGAGGCGCGGGCCGCUCUCCUGCCGGCUUCGUGGAGGAAGGAACCGAGGCUCAGCGAUGGUCCGGAUCCGGCCUCCGCUUGCUCGCCGGCCUCGGGACAGGCGGCAGAGGAGCCUGGAGAACCUUACGUCUUCUUUCCUGGCUUGGUUCAACUUUUCUCGUCAGUAAAGCGUCUUGUGUAUCUCACCUGCUGGUGGGAGUCCCCGUAAACGUUCCCCAGUUCCUACUGUGCACCAGACAGCUUGCGGAGCGUUGGGGACAACUGGACAGACACAGGCUCCGCCCUUAGGCCCCUGCAGCUGGUGGGGGGGAGUGGGGAGAGGCAGAUUCUCAAGCACCUUCCAGGAACUGUGGGUGACAAUCCACAAUUACAGCCACCAGCCCCCUUGAGUGACCUGGGGGAGGAGCCCAGGGGCCUUGCCUGUCAGGCUCACUUGUUUGCUCCAGAGGCUUCUCCUGCCUCCCUUUUGGAACCUAAGUCAGCUCAGGUCACCCCUCAGCUCAAAACCUUCCCAUAGCUCCGCCUCCCUCGGAGACAAAGGCACAGAUUUCUCAAGGCUCCAGAGGAGCCCCUCCCGAGCCCCCACCCCUUUUGCCCCCUCUGCUCAGCCCCGUGGGCUUCUGCAGCUCGCCGGGCGAGUGCCACCUCAGGGCCUUUGAACAUGCUGCUGGCUCUGCAGGCUGCUCUUUCUCCAGUUAUCCUCACGGCCCCUCCCUCACCUCCUUCGCAGUGAAACUUUUGUGACCCAACCUAACAUUGCAGCCCCCCGGCCACUGCUCUAUGUUUCUCCAUAACACUUGACAUUCUAAGUCCUCUCUCAGCUUGUUUAUUCCCUGUCUCCUGCACUAGAGCCUCAGCUGCUCAAGGACAGGGAUUCUGUUUGUAUUGUUAGUGCCCUGUCCCCAGCAGGUGGCACAGUGCCGACACACAGUGGGUGCCCAACGACCGUGACUUGAACGAAUAGAUUGAUUGAUUGAUGGAUGGAUUGCCUCCAGGGCACCCUGCCUGCUCUAGCUGCCAGUCUGGGCUUAGCUGGAGAAGAGUGUGAAGGGCUGAGGGUGGGCAGUGGCCCUCCCUCCUCCUCUGCCCUCUCCCACCAUGUCAGCCCCAAGGCCUCCACUGCGUCCAGAAGGUGGAGAUUCAGGGAUGUGGAUGCCUCCUCUGCAGCUCUGUUGAGAAGAUUCUAUUCAUUGAACAAAGCUUUAUUUUCCCAGAAAGAACGGAAGAGAAAGAGGCUGAGCUGUGGCCUCCGAGAGACCUUGAUUCCACACACACUGCCUGGUCCCACCGCCAGCCCUUUGUCCUUACUCUUCUCUCUGCCCCAAAUGCCCUCCCCGCUCCCAUUCAUACAGUAAUGCUGGACCUUUAGGCACCCGAGGACUGCGGGGAACUGGGACCCUGAAACUUCAUUCCUCGGGGAAGGGAGCAGUGCAGCUGUUACGAGCAUCGAGUGUGGAGUCAGCUGCUUCGUGGCUGCGUGACAUCGGACUUCACAUCUCUGCGCCUCGGUUUCCCUCAGCGUAAGCUGGCCAAGAUGCUCUAAGUGGGAGAAUGGAGAUGUGGGUGGAGAGGCUGCCUGGAGAAUGCAGUGUAUGGGACCCAGGGGUGAGCUGAAUCGCCCUGAGGUCUUGGGGCCUCCCCAGGAGGCAGGGGUUUUGGGUCUCCAUGUUCAGCUGAGCUGCCUGCUUUGGGAGUUCGAGGAGGGGACUGCUUUCUCCACGCAGUCCACCUGCUCCAUUCCAGAGCCCCUUACUGUGGACAACUCCUGCAUCUUCCCGGCCUCCUGAUUGGGAGGGGCUCCCCACCCAGACCCUCUGGCCACUCUCCCUAACUCGUCUUCUGAGUGCCAGUUUCAGGUGCUGGAGAUGCUGGCUUUCCAGGGGCUUCUGGAGUAGCCAGAGGCAUCAGGAGCCUCGGCCCAGAUGCCGGGGAGGGACUGAGACCUGCGGCUGGGUAGGAGGGCUCCCCGGCAGACUCGGAAAUGGCGAGGCCAGGAGUGAAUGUGUGAGGUCUCUCAGGGCCCCCCCAGUGACAACACCCAGCCCGGCCCCCAACCCCAGGGCUCAGACAUCCCCUUCUUGGUCUGACCCCCUGAAGGGGCGUAGGGACACUGGAGCUUGUGUAGAUAGAUGUGCAAGGCCCGGAUCAAGGAAGGGUGAGCUUGGGGCUCUGAGGCACGUGGCCACAGGCCUAGGACUGGAGUUGUGGAGUCUCGGCAGGGGUGUGGCCGGUGGGUCCAGCACCUUCGUGGUACCGUCCCUCUGGGGGCUUCGGGCCCAUGCCUGUGCCUUAGGCCCCUCCUCAGAAUCUUGGUCUUAAAAGCAUCAAACGACACCCAGGAUGCCGAAGGAGCCAGUUAUUACAGUGGCUAAAAAGCACAUUUGUGAUAUGUGGAAGGAAAUGGUACAUUUCAGCGGUGCCUGGUAGAAAUAGUGAUACUCUUCCCAUCAAACACACGGCCCCGAGUUCCAUCCCUGACAUUCCGCCUGCUCCCGCCCGCCCUGCCAGGAGGAGCGGCGACACCAAUAAUGCCACAGUCAGCGAUGGACGGUGACAAGCGGCACCAUCACUGGUCUUUAUGGGGGCUUUGCGCUGCGCCUCAUGGCAGCUGUGUCUGCUCUUCCUGCAUCUUAUCCUCACCACAGCCCUGCAGGGCGGGCAUUAGUAUGGUCCCCAUUGUGCAGAGGAAGAAACGGAGGCACAGAGAAGUUAAAUGACUUGCCCAAGGUCACACAACUUGCAGGCUAAUGGAGUCCAGACGGAGGCGAUACGAUUGUCCCCGUGCUGUGGAUGGGCCAGCCUGGUGGGAGGGAUUCCUCCAGCUCUGAACAGAGACCUGCACUGAACCUACUGCCACGAUGCCAGUCGGGGUGGUGCCCCGGGGCCAAGGGAACAGGGGGGCAAAGGUGUGUCAGGACCCUAUAGACCACCGGGGGACCGUGCACGUCCCUCAGACCAGUGGGUCCUCCUGGCCCCUGGCACUAGGCGAGGCUGUCCCCGAGGAGCUUCUGUGAGAUUCAGGUCAUCACAGAAUGUUUAUUAAUCCCACAGACAGGAUGGGGUCGGGCAGCUCCUCAGGGAAUCUGGAGCUGAAGGAGCUGGGCAUGGGAAGGAGUGAGGGGGUGGGUUCAGGACGGCUUUCUGGACCAGCCUCCUGGACAGCUGAGAGCCCCAGAGUGGGGAGUCUCCCUCUCCCCUCAGCUCUGGGCUACUUUUUAAAUGAAUUAAUGUGGCGGGGGCGGGGGGGACGCACAGAACCCUUGAAGGUGGUGUAAAGGCACAACGAACUCACAGAGAGCAGCUCACCUCCCUCCUGUCCCCUAACCUCCCAAUUCUCUUCUUGGGAGCUAGUUUCUGGUGUCUUUCCAGAAGAUUCUAUCCAACACCCUAGGGUGUGUGUGUGUGUGUGUGUGUGUGUGUAUACGUAUCCUGCUUAAAUAAAAUCCUAAU